GUUGACUUCCUCAACACUAGGGGGUGUCAGAGAAGCACCGGAUCACAUGCUUCACAUGUCACGAGCACGAGCUGCGAGAGGAGGGAGGGAUGCCAACACAUGGCUAACACCAGUCUGCGAUAUAGUCAAAGUCUGCAAACAGGUCCUGCUGGUGCGGGGUCAAGGGCCGGGGUUCUCUGGGUGGUGUGAGCACCGGAGCCUCUGAGGUCAGACUGAACAAUGAUGCUAUUCCUGUCGUUUCGGUAGUCAAAUGAGGUCAAAGUGCCCUGCAGAAGAAGAAAAAAAGCCUUUCAGCUGCCGCUGUUUAUACAAGAUGAUAUUAUCACUGGAUAACGGUUAUCUUUAUGCUAAUAAAGGUAACGACGAAGGCAUUUCCUUUUCCUUUCAAGUGCAAGGGGGCAGAUGAAAGACUAAACACGAAUUACACGUUUAAAGAAGUCUUUAACUGUUCUUUUCUAGGAAACAGAAGACAUCAAUGCAGAUGCCUGGGCAGCUUAUCUCUACGUUGUAG
Long non-coding RNA from Carassius auratus (goldfish), 511 nucleotides. RefSeq lists it as uncharacterized. NCBI's taxonomy places the organism in Eukaryota, Metazoa, Chordata, Actinopteri, Cypriniformes, Cyprinidae. The record is from RefSeq and is a predicted model, not a curated record. The transcript is spliced from 3 exons.